UUAAGCGACUAAGCGUACACGGUGGAUGCCCUGGCAGUCAGAGGCGAUGAAGGACGUGCUAAUCUGCGAAAAGCGUCGGUAAGGUGAUAUGAACCGUUACAGCCGGCGAUGUCCGAAUGGGGAAACCCAGUGCAAUUCGUUGCACUAUCGUUAACUGAAUACAUAGGUUAACGAGGCGAACCGGGGGAACUGAAACAUCUAAGUACCCCGAGGAAAAGAAAUCAACCGAGAUUCCCCCAGUAGCGGCGAGCGAACGGGGAGCAGCCCAGAGUCUGAAUCAGCUUGUGUGUUAGUGGAACGGUCUGGAAAGUCCGACGGUACAGGGUGAUAGUCCCGUACACCAAAAUGCACAGGUUGUGAACUCGAAGAGUAGGGCGGGACACGUGGUAUCCUGUCUGAAUAUGGGGGGACCAUCCUCCAAGGCUAAAUACUCCUGACUGACCGAUAGUGAACCAGUACCGUGAGGGAAAGGCGAAAAGAACCCCGGCGAGGGGAGUGAAAAAGAACCUGAAACCGUGUACGUACAAGCAGUGGGAGCACCUUCGGGUGUGACUGCGUACCUUUUGUAUAAUGGGUCAGCGACUUAUAUUCUGUAGCAAGGUUAACCGUAUAGGGGAGCCGCAGGGAAACCGAGUCUUAACUGGGCGUUAAGUUGCAGGGUAUAGACCCGAAACCCGGUGAUCUAGCCAUGGGCAGGUUGAAGGUUGGGUAACACUAACUGGAGGACCGAACCGACUAAUGUUGAAAAAUUAGCGGAUGACUUGUGGCUGGGGGUGAAAGGCCAAUCAAACCGGGAGAUAGCUGGUUCUCCCCGAAAGCUAUUUAGGUAGCGCCUCGUGAAUUCAUCUUCGGGGGUAGAGCACUGUUUCGGCUAGGGGGUCAUCCCGACUUACCAACCCGAUGCAAACUACGAAUACCGAAGAAUGUUAUCACGGGAGACACACGGCGGGUGCUAACGUCCGUCGUGAAGAGGGAAACAACCCAGACCGCCAGCUAAGGUCCCAAAGUCACAGUUAAGUGGGAAACGAUGUGGGAAGGCACAGACAGCCAGGAUGUUGGCUUAGAAGCAGCCAUCAUUUAAAGAAAGCGUAAUAGCUCACUGGUCGAGUCGGCCUGCGCGGAAGAUGUAACGGGGCUAAACUGUGCACCGAAGCUGCGGCAGCGACACUAUGUGUUGUUGGGUAGGGGAGCGUUCUGUAAGCCUGCGAAGGUGGCCUGUGAGGGUUGCUGGAGGUAUCAGAAGUGCGAAUGCUGACAUAAGUAACGAUAAUGCGGGUGAAAAGCCCGCACGCCGGAAGACCAAGGGUUCCUGUCCAACGUUAAUCGGGGCAGGGUGAGUCGACCCCUAAGGCGAGGCCGAAAGGCGUAGUCGAUGGGAAACAGGUUAAUAUUCCUGUACUUGGUGUUACUGCGAAGGGGGGACGGAGAAGGCUAUGUUAGCCGGGCGACGGUUGUCCCGGUUUAAGCAUGUAGGCGGAGGUUCCAGGUAAAUCCGGUACCUUUUAACGCUGAGGUGUGAUGACGAGGCACUACGGUGCUGAAGUAACAAAUGCCCUGCUUCCAGGAAAAGCCUCUAAGCAUCAGGUAACAUUGAAUCGUACCCCAAACCGACACAGGUGGUCAGGUAGAGAAUACCAAGGCGCUUGAGAGAACUCGGGUGAAGGAACUAGGCAAAAUGGUGCCGUAACUUCGGGAGAAGGCACGCUGAUAUGUAGGUGAAGUCCCUGCGGAUGGAGCUGAAAUCAGUCGAAGAUACCAGCUGGCUGCAACUGUUUAUUAAAAACACAGCACUGUGCAAACACGAAAGUGGACGUAUACGGUGUGACGCCUGCCCGGUGCCGGAAGGUUAAUUGAUGGGGUUAUCCGUAAGGAGAAGCUCUUGAUCGAAGCCCCGGUAAACGGCGGCCGUAACUAUAACGGUCCUAAGGUAGCGAAAUUCCUUGUCGGGUAAGUUCCGACCUGCACGAAUGGCGUAAUGAUGGCCAGGCUGUCUCCACCCGAGACUCAGUGAAAUUGAACUCGCUGUGAAGAUGCAGUGUACCCGCGGCAAGACGGAAAGACCCCGUGAACCUUUACUAUAGCUUGACACUGAACAUUGAGCCUUGAUGUGUAGGAUAGGUGGGAGGCUUUGAAGCGUGGACGCCAGUCUGCGUGGAGCCAACCUUGAAAUACCACCCUUUAAUGUUUGAUGUUCUAACGUUGGCCCCUAAUCGGGGUUGCGGACAGUGUCUGGUGGGUAGUUUGACUGGGGCGGUCUCCUCCCAAAGAGUAACGGAGGAGCACGAAGGUUAGCUAAUCCUGGUCGGACAUCAGGAGGUUAGUGCAAUGGCAUAAGCUAGCUUGACUGCGAGCGUGACGGCGCGAGCAGGUGCGAAAGCAGGUCAUAGUGAUCCGGUGGUUCUGAAUGGAAGGGCCAUCGCUCAACGGAUAAAAGGUACUCCGGGGAUAACAGGCUGAUACCGCCCAAGAGUUCAUAUCGACGGCGGUGUUUGGCACCUCGAUGUCGGCUCAUCACAUCCUGGGGCUGAAGUAGGUCCCAAGGGUAUGGCUGUUCGCCAUUUAAAGUGGUACGCGAGCUGGGUUUAGAACGUCGUGAGACAGUUCGGUCCCUAUCUGCCGUGGGCGCUGGAGAAUUGAGGGGGGCUGCUCCUAGUACGAGAGGACCGGAGUGGACGCAUCACUGGUGUUCGGGUUGUCAUGCCAAUGGCAUUGCCCGGUAGCUAAAUGCGGAAGAGAUAAGUGCUGAAAGCAUCUAAGCACGAAACUUGCCCCGAGAUGAGUUCUCCCUGAGACUUUAAGUCUCCUGAAGGAACGUUAAAGACGAUGACGUUGAUAGGUCGGGUGUGUAAGCGUAGCGAUACGUUGAGCUAACCGAUACUAAUGAACCGUGAGGCUUAACCUU
Molecule: ribosomal RNA, 2902 nt
Filed under: Klebsiella aerogenes UCI 27
Lineage: Bacteria; Pseudomonadati; Pseudomonadota; Gammaproteobacteria; Enterobacterales; Enterobacteriaceae
Also listed under: 1 other name
Description: bacterial LSU rRNA
Rfam family: Bacterial large subunit ribosomal RNA
Source: RNAcentral